This 232-nucleotide long non-coding RNA is filed under the name Setaria italica (foxtail millet). Its description in RNAcentral is "long non-coding RNA (SITA_LNC002941)". The record is from RNAcentral. Lineage: Eukaryota; Viridiplantae; Streptophyta; Magnoliopsida; Poales; Poaceae.
UUUGACAUACAUCUCACUGUCAUCAGUGUCAGUGAGAGAGCUGCGAGCGGCAACAAUGGGAUUCGAAGUAAUGAAAGGGAAUCAAGGUGCCAAGUCAGUGGUGAAAAGGAAGCAAUCUCCCCAACAACAAACUCCUUCAAUUUCAUUCUGCUGCCCACGAAGCAGCAGCAACAAAAGGCAGUGGAAGAACCAAGUGAAGACCGAACGGGAAGUACGGAACAGUACAAGAACC